Molecule: transfer RNA, 80 nt
Organism: Trichoderma virens Gv29-8
Lineage: Eukaryota; Fungi; Ascomycota; Sordariomycetes; Hypocreales; Hypocreaceae
Rfam family: tRNA
About the family: Transfer RNA (tRNA) molecules are approximately 80 nucleotides in length.
Source: Rfam
UCCGAUAUGGUGUAGUGGCUAACAUCGCUCGCUCUCAUUACUGACCCGAGCAGCCCUGGGUUCGAUUCCCAGUAUCGGAG